CGGGUGAGUAACACGUGGGCAAUCUGCCCUGCACUCUGGGACAAGCCCUGGAAACGGGGUCUAAUACCGGAUACUGACCGUCACGGGCAUCCGUGAGGGUCGAAAGCUCCGGCGGUGCAGGAUGAGCCCGCGGCCUAUCAGCUUGUUGGUGAGGUAACGGCUCACCAAGGCGACGACGGGUAGCCGGCCUGAGAGGGCGACCGGCCACACUGGGACUGAGACACGGUCAUAACUCAUACGGGAGGCAGCAGUGGGGAAUAUUGCACAAUGGGCGAAAGCCUGAUGCAGCGACGCCGCGUGAGGGAUGACGGCCUUCGGGUUGUAAACCUCUUUCAGCAGGGAAGAAGCGAAAGUGACGGUACCUGCAGAAGAAGCGCCGGCUAACUACGUGCCAGCAGCCGCGGUAAUACGUAGGGCGCGAGCGUUGUCCGGAAUUAUUGGGCGUAAAGAGCUCGUAGGCGGCUUGUCACGUCGGUUGUGAAAGCCCGGGGCUUAACCCCGGGUCUGCAGUCGAUACGGGCAGGCUAGAGUUCGGUAGGGGAGAUCGGAAUUCCUGGUGUAGCGGUGAAAUGCGCAGAUAUCAGGAGGAACACCGGUGGCGAAGGCGGAUCUCUGGGCCGAUACUGACGCUGAGGAGCGAAAGCGUGGGGAGCGAACAGGAUUAGAUACCCUGGUAGUCCACGCCGUAAACGGUGGGCACUAGGUGUGGGCGACAUUCCACGUCGUCCGUGCCGCAGCUAACGCAUUAAGUGCCCCGCCUGGGGAGUACGGCCGCAAGGCUAAAACUCAAAGGAAUUGACGGGGGCCCGCA
RNAcentral lists this ribosomal RNA (811 nucleotides) under Streptomyces parvulus. RNAcentral's name for it is "bacterial SSU rRNA". It matches the Rfam family "Bacterial small subunit ribosomal RNA", at positions 103 to 925 of the family's 1533-position model. Lineage: Bacteria; Bacillati; Actinomycetota; Actinomycetes; Kitasatosporales; Streptomycetaceae. The record is from RNAcentral.